Molecule: ribosomal RNA, 253 nt
Filed under: uncultured bacterium
Lineage: Bacteria
Description: partial 16S ribosomal RNA
Rfam family: Bacterial small subunit ribosomal RNA
Source: RNAcentral
UACGGAGGGUGCAAGCGUUAUCCGGAUUUACUGGGUUUAAAGGGUGCGUAGGUGGGUCUGUAAGUCAGUGGUGAAAUCUCCGGGCUUAACCCGGAAACUGCCAUUGAUACUAUAGAUCUUGAAUAUCCUGGAGGUGAGCGGAAUAUGUCAUGUAGCGGUGAAAUGCUUAGAUAUGACAUAGAACACCAAUUGCGAAGGCAGCUCACUACGGGAUCAUUGACACUGAGGCACGAAAGCUAGGGGAGCAAACAGG